GGAGCCCGAGCCUCGCGGCCAUGUCAGCAGAUGCUCACUUGUUGACAGCAGAGGAGAGGAACCAAGUUAUACUCGACCUUAAAGCAGCAGGAUGGUCGGAAUUAAGAGAGAGAGAUGCCAUCUACAAAGAGUUCUCCUUCAGAAAUUUUAAUCAGGCCUUUGGCUUUAUGUCCCGAGUUGCUCUGCAAGCAGAGAAGAUGAAUCAUCACCCGGAAUGGUUCAAUGCCUACAACAAGGUCCAGAUAACUCUCACCUCCCAUGACUGUGGUCAGCUGACCAAAAGAGACGUGAAACUGGCCAAGUUUAUUGAAAAAGUAGCUGCUGCUUCGUGACUUCUUUCAAAAUAAUGAAUCCCCAGACUUGCUUCAAGUAACUGACAUAUCAACUUAAAAGAGACAUUGGCAAGGUCGGAGGUCCCCAAGUUCCCUUCUGUUCCAAAUCUUUGUGUGAUGGCACUGGUGUCUCUGAUGUGUUACUUGGGACUAGGAAAGGAAUGACUCUUGGCCAGAAGACUUGAGUCACCAAGCUGCCAUGCCCGCUGACUGCUGCCUUGCCCUGC
Miniopterus natalensis is the source of this 559-nucleotide non-coding RNA. The record is from RefSeq and is a predicted model, not a curated record. NCBI's taxonomy places the organism in Eukaryota, Metazoa, Chordata, Mammalia, Chiroptera, Miniopteridae.